UUUGAGCCGACAAGAGUAGUA
This 21-nucleotide non-coding RNA is filed under the name Arabidopsis thaliana (thale cress). The record is from RNAcentral. Lineage: Eukaryota; Viridiplantae; Streptophyta; Magnoliopsida; Brassicales; Brassicaceae.